GCUUUCUAUAUGUUAGUACUCUCAGUGGCAAAUCCAGGAAAACUUUUUCUGGGGUCAACAUAUAAAAAAUACAUUUAUUAAAAAUAAAAAUUUUAAUUUAAUUUUCAAGUGUUAGGAGCUAAAUAUUUAAAAACUAAGUAAUACAAAAUUAAGCCUAUCUAAUCAAUUUCUUAUGUCAAAAUAAGAGAAAAAACUAGCCAAAUUCAAGCAAUACACAUAAAUAAACAACUUAAUUUUAACUUUCAAAAGAUGGUUCAAUAAUUAAUUUUAUGAGGGUACAUAUAUAAACUAAAUUUUUUAAUAAAAAAAGAGGUCAAUUGACCCGUUAUUUUCUAUUGUGCAUCCGUCACUGAGUACUAACACAGAAAAAUCGUUUGUG
This 379-nucleotide unclassified non-coding RNA is filed under the name Hevea brasiliensis (rubber tree). Lineage: Eukaryota; Viridiplantae; Streptophyta; Magnoliopsida; Malpighiales; Euphorbiaceae. The record is from RNAcentral.